Mauremys reevesii (Reeves's turtle) is the source of this 708-nucleotide long non-coding RNA. RefSeq lists it as uncharacterized. The record is from RefSeq and is a predicted model, not a curated record. NCBI's taxonomy places the organism in Eukaryota, Metazoa, Chordata, Testudines, Geoemydidae. The transcript has 3 exons.
GAGUGUUUGAAUUGCAGCAUCAUUCAAAAUUUUCCAUUACGUUUUGUUUAAACUGUACAGCAUUCUCUGUGCAGAUGGAAAGGAAAGAAACUUGCUUCAUGAAAAAAUAAAAAAAAAAAUAAAGCCAAACAUUUAGCUUAAAGCCAUCUCUAAAUCCUACUAUACAUUCAAUGAAUGACAACAGUGACACUUUCUGUUAAUAGAUUAAGCAAUAUACUGCAUGGAUACACAAAGUUUCUUCGUGGUUAGCUUAGAGGGACAUUGUCAAGUUUAAAAAAUCAAGAGCUCAAUUCUCUUUUACAUGAAGACCUCUUUACACAGCUCUGAUUGCAAGAAUCCUCUACUCUGAUCCAAGAGAACGUGGUAUGUAAAACCUCCAAAACAGUCAAAAUCUGCUGUUAUAUUUUUCCCACUCACUCCCUGAGAAAUCCAGGGUCCAAACUGUCAUCAAGAAAGAAACUGGAAAAUAAUUACAGCUGUGCCACAUGUUUAUAACAGUGACAACUGAAGCUAUAUAUUGAUAUAAACUGAUGAUCUCUCAGCUGCAGCUAUAGAGACUUGCAACACUUGCAGACCCCAGUUUAAAAUCAUCAGUUUAAGUAUAUUAAAAAUAAUAAAAAUCAAAGGAGACUCUGCACCGAUUUCUGAGUAUACAGAUGUAACUGACUCAUUUAUUUCAUAUCUGUAACUGACUAGUUAUAUCUGCUG